RNAcentral lists this ribosomal RNA (497 nucleotides) under uncultured bacterium. RNAcentral describes it as "partial 16S ribosomal RNA". It matches the Rfam family "Bacterial small subunit ribosomal RNA", at positions 28 to 507 of the family's 1533-position model. The record is from RNAcentral.
GACGAACGCUGGCGGCGUGCCUAAUACAUGCAAGUAGAACGCUGAAGAGAGGAGCUUGCUCUUCUUGGAUGAGUUGCGAACGGGUGAGUAACGCGUAGGUAACCUGCCUUGUAGCGGGGGAUAACUAUUGGAAACGAUAGCUAAUACCGCAUAACAAUGGAUGACACAUGUCAUUUAUUUGAAAGGGGCAAUUGCUCCACUACAAGAUGGACCUGCGUUGUAUUAGCUAGUAGGUGAGGUAAUGACUCACCUAGGCGACGAUACAUAGCCGACCUGAGAGGGUGGUCGGCCACACUGGGACUGGGACACGGCCCAGACUCCUACGGGAGGCAGCAGUAGGGAAUCUUCGGCAAUGGGGGCAACCCUGACCGAGCAACGCCGCGUGAGUGAAGAAGGUUUUCGGAUCGUAAAGCUCUGUUGUAAGUCAAGAACGGGUGUGAGAGUGGAAAGUUCACACUGUGACGGUAGCUUACCAGAAAGGGACGGCUAACUACGUG